Molecule: ribosomal RNA, 403 nt
Filed under: uncultured bacterium
Lineage: Bacteria
Description: bacterial SSU rRNA
Rfam family: Bacterial small subunit ribosomal RNA
Source: RNAcentral
UGGGGAAUAUUGGACAAUGGGCGCAAGCCUGAUCCAGCCAUGCCGCGUGUGUGAUGAAGGCCUUAGGGUUGUAAAGCACUUUCACCGGAGAAGAUAAUGACGGUAUCCGGAGAAGAAGCCCCGGCUAACUUCGUGCCAGCAGCCGCGGUAAUACGAAGGGGGCUAGCGUUGUUCGGAAUUACUGGGCGUAAAGCGCACGUAGGCGGAUCGAUCAGUCAGGGGUGAAAUCCCGCAGCUCAACUGCGGAACUGCCUUUGAUACUGUCGGUCUAGAGUAUGGAAGAGGUGAGUGGAAUUCCGAGUGUAGAGGUGAAAUUCGUAGAUAUUCGGAGGAACACCAGUGGCGAAGGCGGCUCACUGGUCCAUUACUGACGCUGAGGUGCGAAAGCGUGGGGAGCAAACAG